This 2901-nucleotide ribosomal RNA is filed under the name Escherichia coli STEC_C165-02. Its description in RNAcentral is "bacterial LSU rRNA". It matches the Rfam family "Bacterial large subunit ribosomal RNA". The record is from RNAcentral. Lineage: Bacteria; Pseudomonadati; Pseudomonadota; Gammaproteobacteria; Enterobacterales; Enterobacteriaceae.
UUAAGCGACUAAGCGUACACGGUGGAUGCCCUGGCAGUCAGAGGCGAUGAAGGACGUGCUAAUCUGCGAUAAGCGUCGGUAAGGUGAUAUGAACCGUUAUAACCGGCGAUUUCCGAAUGGGGAAACCCAGUGUGAUUCGUCACACUAUCAUUAACUGAAUCCAUAGGUUAAUGAGGCGAACCGGGGAACUGAAACAUCUAAGUACCCCGAGGAAAAGAAAUCAACCGAGAUUCCCCCAGUAGCGGCGAGCGAACGGGGAGGAGCCCAGAGCCUGAAUCAGUGUGUGUGUUAGUGGAAGCGUCUGGAAAGGCGCGCGAUACAGGGUGACAGCCCCGUACACAAAAAUGCACAUGCUGUGAGCUCGAUGAGUAGGGCGGGACACGUGGUAUCCUGUCUGAAUAUGGGGGGACCAUCCUCCAAGGCUAAAUACUCCUGACUGACCGAUAGUGAACCAGUACCGUGAGGGAAAGGCGAAAAGAACCCCGGCGAGGGGAGUGAAAAAGAACCUGAAACCGUGUACGUACAAGCAGUGGGAGCCUCUUUAUGGGGUGACUGCGUACCUUUUGUAUAAUGGGUCAGCGACUUAUAUUCUGUAGCAAGGUUAACCGAAUAGGGGAGCCGAAGGGAAACCGAGUCUUAACUGGGCGUUAAGUUGCAGGGUAUAGACCCGAAACCCGGUGAUCUAGCCAUGGGCAGGUUGAAGGUUGGGUAACACUAACUGGAGGACCGAACCGACUAAUGUUGAAAAAUUAGCGGAUGACUUGUGGCUGGGGGUGAAAGGCCAAUCAAACCGGGAGAUAGCUGGUUCUCCCCGAAAGCUAUUUAGGUAGCGCCUCGUGAAUUCAUCUCCGGGGGUAGAGCACUGUUUCGGCAAGGGGGUCAUCCCGACUUACCAACCCGAUGCAAACUGCGAAUACCGGAGAAUGUUAUCACGGGAGACACACGGCGGGUGCUAACGUCCGUCGUGAAGAGGGAAACAACCCAGACCGCCAGCUAAGGUCCCAAAGUCAUGGUUAAGUGGGAAACGAUGUGGGAAGGCCCAGACAGCCAGGAUGUUGGCUUAGAAGCAGCCAUCAUUUAAAGAAAGCGUAAUAGCUCACUGGUCGAGUCGGCCUGCGCGGAAGAUGUAACGGGGCUAAACCAUGCACCGAAGCUGCGGCAGCGACGCUUAUGCGUUGUUGGGUAGGGGAGCGUUCUGUAAGCCUGCGAAGGUGUGCUGUGAGGAUGCUGGAGGUAUCAGAAGUGCGAAUGCUGACAUAAGUAACGAUAAAGCGGGUGAAAAGCCCGCUCGCCGGAAGACCAAGGGUUCCUGUCCAACGUUAAUCGGGGCAGGGUGAGUCGACCCCUAAGGCGAGGCCGAAAGGCGUAGUCGAUGGGAAACAGGUUAAUAUUCCUGUACUUGGUGUUACUGCGAAGGGGGGACGGAGAAGGCUAUGUUGGCCGGGCGACGGUUGUCCCGGUUUAAGCGUGUAGGCUGGUUUUCCAGGCAAAUCCGGAAAAUCAAGGCUGAGGCGUGAUGACGAGGCACUACGGUGCUGAAGCAACAAAUGCCCUGCUUCCAGGAAAAGCCUCUAAGCAUCAGGUAACAUCAAAUCGUACCCCAAACCGACACAGGUGGUCAGGUAGAGAAUACCAAGGCGCUUGAGAGAACUCGGGUGAAGGAACUAGGCAAAAUGGUGCCGUAACUUCGGGAGAAGGCACGCUGAUAUGUAGGUGAAGCGACUUGCUCGUGGAGCUGAAAUCAGUCGAAGAUACCAGCUGGCUGCAACUGUUUAUUAAAAACACAGCACUGUGCAAACACGAAAGUGGACGUAUACGGUGUGACGCCUGCCCGGUGCCGGAAGGUUAAUUGAUGGGGUUAGCGGUAACGCGAAGCUCUUGAUCGAAGCCCCGGUAAACGGCGGCCGUAACUAUAACGGUCCUAAGGUAGCGAAAUUCCUUGUCGGGUAAGUUCCGACCUGCACGAAUGGCGUAAUGAUGGCCAGGCUGUCUCCACCCGAGACUCAGUGAAAUUGAACUCGCUGUGAAGAUGCAGUGUACCCGCGGCAAGACGGAAAGACCCCGUGAACCUUUACUAUAGCUUGACACUGAACAUUGAGCCUUGAUGUGUAGGAUAGGUGGGAGGCUUUGAAGUGUGGACGCCAGUCUGCAUGGAGCCGACCUUGAAAUACCACCCUUUAAUGUUUGAUGUUCUAACGUUGGCCCCUAAUCGGGGUUGCGGACAGUGUCUGGUGGGUAGUUUGACUGGGGCGGUCUCCUCCUAAAGAGUAACGGAGGAGCACGAAGGUUGGCUAAUCCUGGUCGGACAUCAGGAGGUUAGUGCAAUGGCAUAAGCCAGCUUGACUGCGAGCGUGACGGCGCGAGCAGGUGCGAAAGCAGGUCAUAGUGAUCCGGUGGUUCUGAAUGGAAGGGCCAUCGCUCAACGGAUAAAAGGUACUCCGGGGAUAACAGGCUGAUACCGCCCAAGAGUUCAUAUCGACGGCGGUGUUUGGCACCUCGAUGUCGGCUCAUCACAUCCUGGGGCUGAAGUAGGUCCCAAGGGUAUGGCUGUUCGCCAUUUAAAGUGGUACGCGAGCUGGGUUUAGAACGUCGUGAGACAGUUCGGUCCCUAUCUGCCGUGGGCGCUGGAGAACUGAGGGGGGCUGCUCCUAGUACGAGAGGACCGGAGUGGACGCAUCACUGGUGUUCGGGUUGUCAUGCCAAUGGCACUGCCCGGUAGCUAAAUGCGGAAGAGAUAAGUGCUGAAAGCAUCUAAGCACGAAACUUGCCCCGAGAUGAGUUCUCCCUGACUCCCUGAGAGUCCUGAAGGAACGUUGAAGACGACGACGUUGAUAGGCCGGGUGUGUAAGCGCAGCGAUGCGUUGAGCUAACCGGUACUAAUGAACCGUGAGGCUUAACCUU